This 468-nucleotide ribosomal RNA is filed under the name uncultured bacterium. RNAcentral's name for it is "bacterial SSU rRNA". It matches the Rfam family "Bacterial small subunit ribosomal RNA", at positions 329 to 794 of the family's 1533-position model. The record is from RNAcentral.
UUCCAGACUCCUACGGGAGGCAGCAGUGAGGAAUAUUGGUCAAUGGCCGAGAGGCUGAACCAGCCAAGUCGCGUGAGGGAAGACGGCCCUACGGGUUGUAAACCUCUUUAGGCGGGGAGCAAUGCCGGGCACGCGUGCCCGGAGGGAGAGUACCCGCAGAAUAAGCAUCGGCUAACUCCGUGCCAGCAGCCGCGGUAAUACGGAGGAUGCGAGCGUUAUCCGGAUUUAUUGGGUUUAAAGGGUGCGUAGGCGGAUUUUUAAGUCAGCGGUAAAAUGUCCGGGCUCAACCCGGGCCGGCCGUUGAAACUGGGGAUCUUGAGUGGGCGAGAAGUAUGCGGAAUGCGUGGUGUAGCGGUGAAAUGCAUAGAUAUCACGCAGAACUCCGAUUGCGAAGGCAGCAUACCGGCGCCCGACUGACGCUGAGGCACGAAAGCGUGGGGAUCGAACAGGAUUAGAUACCCGUGUAGC